This 492-nucleotide ribosomal RNA is filed under the name uncultured bacterium. RNAcentral's name for it is "partial 16S ribosomal RNA". It matches the Rfam family "Bacterial small subunit ribosomal RNA", at positions 29 to 507 of the family's 1533-position model. The record is from RNAcentral.
AGUGAACGCUGGCGGUAGGCCUAACACAUGCAAGUCGAACGGCAGCACAGUAAGAGCUUGCUCUUACGGGUGGCGAGUGGCGGACGGGUGAGGAAUACAUCGGAAUCUACUUUUUCGUGGGGGAUAACGUAGGGAAACUUACGCUAAUACCGCAUACGACCUACGGGUGAAAGCAGGGGAUCUUCAGACCUUGCGCGAUUGAAUGAGCCGAUGUCGGAUUAGCUAGUUGGCGGGGUAAAGGCCCACCAAGGCGACGAUCCGUAGCUGGUCUGAGAGGAUGAUCAGCCACACUGGAACUGAGACACGGUCCAGACUCCUACGGGAGGCAGCAGUGGGGAAUAUUGGACCAUGGGCGCAAGCCUGAUCCAGCCAUACCGCGUGGGUGAAGAAGGCCUUCGGGUUGUAAAGCCCUUUUGUUGGGAAAGAAAAGCAGCAGGUUAAUACCCCGCUGUUCUGACGGUACCCAAAGAAUAAGCACCGGCUAACUUCGUG